This 407-nucleotide ribosomal RNA is filed under the name uncultured bacterium. Its description in RNAcentral is "partial 16S ribosomal RNA". It matches the Rfam family "Bacterial small subunit ribosomal RNA", at positions 30 to 526 of the family's 1533-position model. The record is from RNAcentral.
AUUGAACGCUGGCGGCAGGCCUAACACAUGCAAGUCGAGCGGAGCGGCGGACGCGUGAGUAAUGCCUAGGAAUCUGCCUGGUAGUGGGGGAGAACGUCCGGAAAAGGGCGCUAAUACCGCAUACUAGCAGAUGAGCCUAGGUCGGAUUAGCUAGUUGGUGGGGUAAAGCCCUACCAAGGCGACGAUCCGUAACUGGUCUGAGAGGAUGAUCAGUCACACUGGAACUGAGACACGGUCCAGACUCCUACGGGUGGCAGCAUUGGGGAAUAUUUAACAAUGGGCGCAAGCCUGAUCCAGCCAUGCCGCGUGUGUGAAGAAGGUCUUCGGAUUUUAAAGCACUUUAAGUUGGGAGGCGUUACCAACAGAAUAAUCACCGGCUAACUUCGUGCCAGCAGCCGCGGUAAUAC